RNAcentral lists this ribosomal RNA (1466 nucleotides) under Enterococcus durans. RNAcentral's name for it is "bacterial SSU rRNA". It matches the Rfam family "Bacterial small subunit ribosomal RNA". Lineage: Bacteria; Bacillati; Bacillota; Bacilli; Lactobacillales; Enterococcaceae. The record is from RNAcentral.
GGAGCUGCGGCGGCUAUACAUGCAAGUCGUACGCUUCUUUUUCCACCGGAGCUUGCUCCACCGGAAAAAGAAGAGUGGCGAACGGGUGAGUAACACGUGGGUAACCUGCCCAUCAGAAGGGGAUAACACUUGGAAACAGGUGCUAAUACCGUAUAACAAUCGAAACCGCAUGGUUUUGAUUUGAAAGGCGCUUUCGGGUGUCGCUGAUGGAUGGACCCGCGGUGCAUUAGCUAGUUGGUGAGGUAACGGCUCACCAAGGCCACGAUGCAUAGCCGACCUGAGAGGGUGAUCGGCCACAUUGGGACUGAGACACGGCCCAAACUCCUACGGGAGGCAGCAGUAGGGAAUCUUCGGCAAUGGACGAAAGUCUGACCGAGCAACGCCGCGUGAGUGAAGAAGGUUUUCGGAUCGUAAAACUCUGUUGUUAGAGAAGAACAAGGAUGAGAGUAACUGUUCAUCCCUUGACGGUAUCUAACCAGAAAGCCACGGCUAACUACGUGCCAGCAGCCGCGGUAAUACGUAGGUGGCAAGCGUUGUCCGGAUUUAUUGGGCGUAAAGCGAGCGCAGGCGGUUUCUUAAGUCUGAUGUGAAAGCCCCCGGCUCAACCGGGGAGGGUCAUUGGAAACUGGGAGACUUGAGUGCAGAAGAGGAGAGUGGAAUUCCAUGUGUAGCGGUGAAAUGCGUAGAUAUAUGGAGGAACACCAGUGGCGAAGGCGGCUCUCUGGUCUGUAACUGACGCUGAGGCUCGAAAGCGUGGGGAGCAAACAGGAUUAGAUACCCUGGUAGUCCACGCCGUAAACGAUGAGUGCUAAGUGUUGGAGGGUUUCCGCCCUUCAGUGCUGCAGCUAACGCAUUAAGCACUCCGCCUGGGGAGUACGACCGCAAGGUUGAAACUCAAAGGAAUUGACGGGGGCCCGCACAAGCGGUGGAGCAUGUGGUUUAAUUCGAAGCAACGCGAAGAACCUUACCAGGUCUUGACAUCCUUUGACCACUCUAGAGAUAGAGCUUCCCCUUCGGGGGCAAAGUGACAGGUGGUGCAUGGUUGUCGUCAGCUCGUGUCGUGAGAUGUUGGGUUAAGUCCCGCAACGAGCGCAACCCUUAUUGUUAGUUGCCAUCAUUUAGUUGGGCACUCUAGCAAGACUGCCGGUGACAAACCGGAGGAAGGUGGGGAUGACGUCAAAUCAUCAUGCCCCUUAUGACCUGGGCUACACACGUGCUACAAUGGGAAGUACAACGAGUCGCGAAGUCGCGAGGCUAAGCUAAUCUCUUAAAGCUUCUCUCAGUUCGGAUUGUAGGCUGCAACUCGCCUACAUGAAGCCGGAAUCGCUAGUAAUCGCGGAUCAGCACGCCGCGGUGAAUACGUUCCCGGGCCUUGUACACACCGCCCGUCACACCACGAGAGUUUGUAACACCCGAAGUCGGUGAGGUAACCUUUUGGAGCCAGCCGCCUAAGGUGGAAGAUAUGU